Molecule: long non-coding RNA, 521 nt
Organism: Brassica oleracea var. oleracea
Lineage: Eukaryota; Viridiplantae; Streptophyta; Magnoliopsida; Brassicales; Brassicaceae
Exons: 3
Source: RefSeq, a predicted model, not a curated record
UCAACGACUUUCAGAAAAAAGUUUGAUGCUGCUUAUUAGAGUUGGACUGUUGUGCCUCAGGACAAACAAGAGACAAUAUUUAUAGAAUUUGCAAAAACUCACACUUGGAGUCAAAUAUACACUGGUCUUGUCCAGGAAAAAUUUGAGAGCAUAUGUCAGCUACGUAUGAAAGACAUGGUUAGCAUUUGUAGGAGGAAACGAAAGCAACCAAUCUGGAUCCAUGAUACUCUGUGGGAAGAAAUGACAGCGUAUUGGGACACUCCUGCAGCGAAAAAAAAAAGUGACACUGCAUCAGUGGCUCGUUUGUCUGAACGGAACGGACUUGGUCCACACAAGCACAACACUGGCCAGAAGUCUUUCCAACAAAUCGAAUAUGAAAUGGUUGAGGAAUUGGGCAGACCAGUUUCUCUUGGUGAAGUUUACAUCAAGACACAUACAAAAAAGGAUGGGACCUAUGUUGAUUUGAAAGCUGAGCAGGUUGCAGAGAUAUAUAAGAAGAACAAAGAAGCCAAGUUGACUGC